Molecule: ribosomal RNA, 253 nt
Filed under: uncultured bacterium
Lineage: Bacteria
Description: partial 16S ribosomal RNA
Rfam family: Bacterial small subunit ribosomal RNA
Source: RNAcentral
UACGGGGGGAGCAAGCGUUGUUCGGAUUUACUGGGCGUAAAGGGCGCGUAGGCGGUAGCACAAGUCAGUUGUGAAAUCUCCGGGCUUAACUCGGAAAGGUCAACUGAUUCUGUGCGACUAGAGUGCAGAAGGGGCAACUGGAAUUCUCGGUGUAGCGGUGAAAUGCGUAGAUAUCGAGAGGAACACCUGCGGCGAAGGCGGGUUGCUGGGCUGACACUGACGCUGAGGCGCGAAAGCCAGGGGAGCGAACGGG